AUAAAAUGCCCACAGGCGAUUGUGCGUGUUUAAGAACAAAGCACAAGUUCACCACAAUCGAACUUCCUCCUCCUAUUCUUGCUCUUCUCAGAGGGAUGUCCGCUACAGCUAUGAGCUUAAAGCGAGGCAUUAUAUCAUUCCUCAACGUUGAUGACAGCAGAUUCACCCGUGUUGAUGAAAUUGAAUUCGCCCCAUAUUUUUCUAAGUACUCGUGGGGUUUCUUCCGCCGAAAAACCAAGCUUCUUUGUCGCAAGUGUUGCAACCAUAUUGCACUUCAUCAUUCUUUCCCCUCGUAUCAAACAGAACAGAACCAUCACCACCCACCGAAGCAUCAAGUCCAAUGAAAUACGACAUUCGCAUUCGUGCUUUACAGCCUUCAUCUUCUCAAGAAUAUGGAAUCACUGUCUUAGCUUAAAAUUUUAAAUACGUGUUAAAAAAUUGUUAUCACUAAGUAACUCUACAAGGAGAUUCUGAUUUCAUUUUUUAUAGAUGUAAAGUUCUGUUUUGGCAAGGGUGUUGUGUUCCCCUUUCCUUCUGUCGCAAGUGUGAUCAAUAUAUACACACUCGUAUAUAAAAGUUGUAGAUGUGGGAUUUUUGGAAUGUUAAGUUACAUUUUGCAAAACGACUAAGAAAGAACGAAUAUUUUUGGCUCGUGCUACUUCGUAAGUCAGAAGGUAUUAUCUAGCUUUGAAUAGUCAGAUGUGGAUUAACCUCACAAUGUAUGAAUAUAUUGUUUUAUA
Glycine soja is the source of this 740-nucleotide long non-coding RNA. RefSeq lists it as uncharacterized. The transcript is spliced from 2 exons. Lineage: Eukaryota; Viridiplantae; Streptophyta; Magnoliopsida; Fabales; Fabaceae. The record is from RefSeq and is a predicted model, not a curated record.